Molecule: ribosomal RNA, 472 nt
Filed under: uncultured bacterium
Lineage: Bacteria
Description: bacterial SSU rRNA
Rfam family: Bacterial small subunit ribosomal RNA
Source: RNAcentral
UGACAGUACUCCUACGGGGAGGCAGCAGUGAGGAAUAUUGGACAAUGGGCGCAAGCCUGAUCCAGCCAUGCCGCGUGCAGGAUGACGGUCCUAUGGAUUGUAAACUGCUUUUGUACAGGAAGAAACAACUCCCUCGUGAGGGAGCUUGACGGUACUGUAAGAAUAAGGAUCGGCUAACUCCGUGCCAGCAGCCGCGGUAAUACGGAGGAUCCAAGCGUUAUCCGGAAUCAUUGGGUUUAAAGGGUCCGUAGGCGGUUUAAUAAGUCAGUGGUGAAAGCCCCAUCGCUCAACGGUGGAACGGCCAUUGAUACUGUUAAACUUGAAUUAUUAGGAAGUAACUAGAAUAUGUAGUGUAGCGGUGAAAAUGCUUAGAGAUUACAUGGAAUACCAAUUGCGAAGGCAGGUUACUACUAAUGGAUUGACGCUGAUGGACGAAAGCGUGGGUAGCGAACAGGAUUAGAUACCCUGGUAG